Molecule: ribosomal RNA, 401 nt
Filed under: uncultured bacterium
Lineage: Bacteria
Description: bacterial SSU rRNA
Rfam family: Bacterial small subunit ribosomal RNA
Source: RNAcentral
GGGGAAUAUUGCGCAAUGGGCGAAAGCCUGACGCAGCCAAUCCGCGUGGGUGAUGAAGGCCUUCGGGUUGUAAAGCCCUGUCGUGUGGGAAGAAUAAUGACGGUACCACACAAGAAAGCACCGGCUAACCCCGUGCCAGCAGCCGCGGUAAUACGGGGGGUGCAAGCGUUGCUCGGAAUCACUGGGCGUAAAGCGUCCGCAGGCUGAUCUGCAGGUCGGGUGUGAAAUCCCGGGGCUCAACCCCGGAACUGCAUCCGAAACCGCAUGUCUCGAGUACGGGAGAGGGAAGCGGAAUUCCUGGUGUAGAGGUGAAAUUCGUAGAUAUCAGGAGGAACACCGGUGGCGAAAGCGGCUUCCUGGCCCGAUACUGACGCUCAUGGACGAAAGCGUGGGGAGCAAAC